UUCUAAAGAGAAAUUAGAGAAUUAUCAAAAAAAAAAAACGUCUAGCUUAAUGGCUAACUACACCCAAUCUCAAAUGAUUGCCUUCUGUUUAUGCUUUCUUGUGCUUCUAGUUUGUCAUGAAUGUAAGUUUUGUCACCAAUUGAAUUUUUUCCUUAUGAAUAAAUAUCAUAAUGAAUAUUUUCAUUGCUUGUUGUUUUUUGUAUUUAGCUAUCAGAACAGAUGUGUUUUCGCCAACUUGCCAUUCAUAUUGUAUAAAGGAUCCUUUAUUCGGCUAUUGUUGUUGUAGUAAUAAACAAUUGUGUGACACCAGUUCGGACGGAAUGGGUUUGUGUACAGAGAAAUGUAAGAAAAAUGGAAAGUGUUGCCCCCCAAAAAUAUAAUUGAUGUAAU
This 390-nucleotide long non-coding RNA is filed under the name Lactuca sativa (garden lettuce). Its description in RNAcentral is "long non-coding RNA (LSAT_LNC010293)". The record is from RNAcentral. Lineage: Eukaryota; Viridiplantae; Streptophyta; Magnoliopsida; Asterales; Asteraceae.